This 493-nucleotide ribosomal RNA is filed under the name uncultured bacterium. RNAcentral describes it as "partial 16S ribosomal RNA". It matches the Rfam family "Bacterial small subunit ribosomal RNA", at positions 29 to 507 of the family's 1533-position model. The record is from RNAcentral.
ACGCACGCUGGCGGCGUGCUUAACCCAUGCCAGUCGAACGGUGAAGCGCCUUCCUUUUUGGUGGGUGUGGAUGAGUGGCGAACGGGUGAGUAACACGUGAGUAACCUGCCCCCUUCUUCUGGAUAACCGCAUGAAAGUGUGGCUAAUACGGGAUAUUCUGGGUCUGUCGCAUGAUGGGUCUGGGAAAGAUAUUGUUUCGGUGGGGGAUGGGCUCGCGGCCUAUCAGCUUGUUGGUGGGGUGAUGGCCUACCAAGGCGGUGACGGGUAGCCGGCCUGAGAGGGUGGACGGUCACACUGGGACUGAGACACGGCCCAGACUCCUACGGGAGGCAGCAGUGGGGAAUAUUGCACAAUGGGCGCAAGCCUGAUGCAGCGACGCCGCGGGAGGGAUGGAGGCCUUCGGGUUGUGAACCUCUUUCGCCAGUGAAGCAGGCCUGCCUCGUUUGUGGGUGGGUUGACGGUAGCUGGAUAAGAAGCGCCGGCUAACUACGUG